GAAAUGAUCAACUAAACAGGAGCUCAAGC
This 29-nucleotide non-coding RNA is filed under the name Rattus norvegicus (Norway rat). Lineage: Eukaryota; Metazoa; Chordata; Mammalia; Rodentia; Muridae. The record is from RNAcentral.